GACGAACGCUGGCGGCGUGCUUAACACAUGCAAGUCGAACGAUGAUGCUCCAGCUUGCUGGGGUGGAUUAGUGGCGAACGGGUGAGUAACACGUGAGUAACCUGCCCCCUUCUUCGGGAUAAGCUUGGGAAACUGGGUCUAAUACUGGAUAUUCUGCAAUUGUCGCAUGGUGGUUGUGGGAAAGAUUUUUUGGUGGGGGAUGGGCUCGCGGCCUAUCAGCUUGUUGGUGGGGUGAUGGCCUACCAAGGCGUCGACGGGUAGCCGGCCUGAGAGGGUGACCGGCCACACUGGGACUGAGAUACGGCCCAGACUCCUACGGGAGGCAGCAGUGGGGAAUAUUGCACAAUGGGCGCAAGCUUGAUGCAGCGACGCCGCGUGAGGGAUGACGGCUUUCGGGUUGUAACCUCUUUCGAUGGGGAACAAGGCCAUAUUUUUGUGUGGUUGAGGGUACCUGUAGAAGAAGCGCCGGCUAACUACGUG
RNAcentral lists this ribosomal RNA (480 nucleotides) under uncultured bacterium. RNAcentral describes it as "partial 16S ribosomal RNA". It matches the Rfam family "Bacterial small subunit ribosomal RNA", at positions 28 to 507 of the family's 1533-position model. The record is from RNAcentral.